Molecule: long non-coding RNA, 513 nt
Organism: Lynx canadensis (Canada lynx)
Lineage: Eukaryota; Metazoa; Chordata; Mammalia; Carnivora; Felidae
Exons: 3
Source: RefSeq, a predicted model, not a curated record
GCUCCUCCCGGCUGCCUGAGUUGCGCAAUCCGUAGCCGGGGAAGCGCUACGUGGAGACCGCGCUAAGUGGAAGCCGAGCUCUGGAGCUGGGGAACAGGAGGGCGGACCUUGAAUAGAUGCUGGACAUUCCUCAUCAGAAACCUGAGGAGGAUACUAAAAAGACAGCCACAAUUUUCCUUCUGCUUGCUGCCAAAGUUCUUGAGGCCAGCUGUUGGGGGCAUGGUUCUGGCGGAAGAUACCCCACUUACAUCACUGGGCAGAGCACUUGGCAUCUUGCUCUGCAGCAUCAGCAUUGAGAUUUAUGGUGACCUCACUGCUAUCGCCAAGGACAGUGGGUGGGUACUUGCUUCGUGUUUAUAUAACUACAGGGCCAAUCCUGGAAAACUUCCAAAGACAAAAGGACUCUGUUCCAAAGACUCUGAGAGCUUUCUCAACUUCCCCAAACUAAAAGUUGCCAGUAACCUCCCAGUGGCAGUUCCAGAAAAAGAAAGAAAGAAAGAAAGAAAGAAAGAG